GGGUCGGCUCACCUAUUGGCGUAGGUAGCGGUCUGUAAAACCGUCGCAUCUUUGCGUUGCUGGUUCAAAUCCAGCUCGGCCCACCA
This 86-nucleotide transfer RNA is filed under the name Spirulina sp. SIO3F2. RNAcentral describes it as "tRNA-Tyr". It matches the Rfam family "tRNA". From Rfam's summary of the family: Transfer RNA (tRNA) molecules are approximately 80 nucleotides in length. Their secondary structure includes four short double-helical elements and three loops (D, anti-codon, and T loops). Further hydrogen bonds mediate the characteristic L-shaped molecular structure. tRNAs have two regions of fundamental functional importance: the anti-codon, which is responsible for specific mRNA codon recognition, and the 3' end, to which the tRNAs corresponding amino acid is attached (by aminoacyl-tRNA synthetases). tRNAs cope with the degeneracy of the genetic code in two manners: having more than one tRNA (with a specific anti-codon) for a particular amino acid; and 'wobble' base-pairing, i.e. permitting non-standard base-pairing at the 3rd anti-codon position. The record is from RNAcentral. Lineage: Bacteria; Bacillati; Cyanobacteriota; Cyanophyceae; Spirulinales; Spirulinaceae.